RNAcentral lists this ribosomal RNA (397 nucleotides) under uncultured bacterium. Its description in RNAcentral is "partial 16S ribosomal RNA". It matches the Rfam family "Bacterial small subunit ribosomal RNA", at positions 523 to 918 of the family's 1533-position model. The record is from RNAcentral.
AUACGUAGGGGGCGAGCGUUGUCCGGAAUUACUGGGCGUAAAGGGUGCGUAGGUGGCACUUUAAGUUGGAUGUGAAAUCCCCGUGCUUAACAUGUGAGCUGCAUCCAAUACUGGAGAGCUAGAGUGCAGGAGAGGUAAGCGGAAUUCCUAGUGUAGCGGUGAAAUGCGUAGAUAUUAGGAGGAACACCAGUGGCGAAGGCGGCUUACUGGACUGUAACUGACACUGAGGCACGAAAGCGUGGGGAGCAAACAGGAUUAGAUACCCUGGUAGUCCACGCUGUAAACGAUGAAUACUAGGUGUAGGGGGUAUCAACUCCCUCUGUGCCGCAGCAAACGCAAUAAGUAUUCCGCCUGGGGAGUACGGCCGCAAGGUAGAAACUCAAAUGAAUUGACGGGG